GAUGAACGCUGGCGGCGUGCCUAAUACAUGCAAGUCGAGCGAACAGACGAGGAGCUUGCUCCUUCGACGUUAGCGGCGGACGGGUGAGUAACACGUAGGUAACCUACCUAUAAGACUGGGAUAACUUCGGGAAACCGGAGCUAAUACCGGAUAAUAUUUCGAACCGCAUGGUUCGAUAGUGAAAGAUGGCUUUGCUAUCACUUAUAGAUGGACCUGCGCCGUAUUAGCUAGUUGGUAAGGUAACGGCUUACCAAGGCAACGAUACGUAGCCGACCUGAGAGGGUGAUCGGCCACACUGGAACUGAGACACGGUCCAGACUCCUACGGGAGGCAGCAGUAGGGAAUCUUCCGCAAUGGGCGAAAGCCUGACGGAGCAACGCCGCGUGAGUGAUGAGGGUCUUCGGAUCGUAAAACUCUGUUAUUAGGGAAGAACAAACGUGUAAGUAACUGUGCACGUCUUGACAGUACCUAAUCAGAAAGCCACGGCUAACUACGUG
Molecule: ribosomal RNA, 497 nt
Filed under: uncultured bacterium
Lineage: Bacteria
Description: partial 16S ribosomal RNA
Rfam family: Bacterial small subunit ribosomal RNA
Source: RNAcentral